This 205-nucleotide long non-coding RNA is filed under the name Mytilus galloprovincialis (Mediterranean mussel). Lineage: Eukaryota; Metazoa; Mollusca; Bivalvia; Mytilida; Mytilidae. The record is from RNAcentral.
GAUACUUUAUGAAUGUUUCAAGUGCUGAUUGAAUUUGAUUCAAGAAAAUAUCAUUUCCAAUAAAUGAUAGAUGUACUCCAUCGUCAGAAUAUAGCGCUGGAUGACGGUCGUCAAAAUCUGGAUAUUUGAUAACGUAUCCUCCAUGUUUGAGUAUAUAAGAUCUCACUCCCUAUUUAUUCUCUUUCUUGUAACUUCCAUGGCAUGG